UUGGGAGGGGCAAGUCUGGUGCCAGCAGCCGCGGUAAUUCCAGCUCCCAAUAGCGUAUAUUAAAGGUUGUUGCAGUUGAAAAGCUCGUAGUUGAAUUUCGGGGUCAGCAGGUUGGUCGUGCCUCUGGUACGCACUGGUUUCGCUGAUUCCUCCUUUCUGAAGAACUGUAAUGUCAUUAAUUUGGUGUUGCAGGGAAACAGGACUGUUACUUUGAAAAAAUUAGAGUGUUUAAAGCAAGCUAACGCUUGAAUACAUUAGCAUGGAAUAAUGAAAUAGGACGUUUGAUCCUAUUUUGUUGGUUUCUAGGAUUGACGUAAUGAUUAAUAGGGAUAGUUGGGGGCAUUAGUAUUCAAUUGUCAGAGGUGAAAUUCUUGGAUUUAUUGAAGACUAACUACUGCGAAAGCAUUUGCCAAGGAUGUUUUCAUUAAUCAAGAACGAAAGUUAGGGGAUCGAAGACGAUCAGAUACCGUCGUAGUCUUAACCAUAAACUAUGCCCGACUAGGGAUCGGAUGAUGUUUAAUUUUUUAAUGACUCAUUCGGCGCCUUACGGGAAA
This 554-nucleotide ribosomal RNA is filed under the name uncultured Glomus. Its description in RNAcentral is "SSU rRNA". It matches the Rfam family "Eukaryotic small subunit ribosomal RNA", at positions 539 to 1097 of the family's 1831-position model. Lineage: Eukaryota; Fungi; Glomeromycota; Glomeromycetes; Glomerales; Glomeraceae. The record is from RNAcentral.